RNAcentral lists this ribosomal RNA (711 nucleotides) under Phytophthora cryptogea. RNAcentral's name for it is "eukaryotic LSU rRNA". It matches the Rfam family "Eukaryotic large subunit ribosomal RNA", at positions 81 to 618 of the family's 3401-position model. RNAcentral also lists the same sequence under 1 other name. Lineage: Eukaryota; Oomycota; Peronosporomycetes; Peronosporales; Peronosporaceae. The record is from RNAcentral.
UAGUAACGGCGAGUGAAGCGGGAAGAGCUCAAGCUUAAAAUCUCCGUGCAAGUUUUGCGCGGCGAAUUGUAGUCUAUAGAGGCGUGGUCAGUGAGGGCGCUCGGGGCAAGUUCCUUGGAAGAGGACAGCAUGGAGGGUGAUACUCCCGUUCAUCCCUGGGUGGCUCUUGCGUACGACCCGUUUUCUUUGAGUCGCGUUGUUUGGGAAUGCAGCGCAAAGUAGGUGGUAAAUUCCAUCUAAAGCUAAAUAUUGGUGCGAGACCGAUAGCGAACAAGUACCGUGAGGGAAAGAUGAAAAGAACUUUGAAAAGAGAGUUAAAGAGUACCUGAAACUGCUGAAAGGGAACCGAAUCGUUUCCAGUGUCUAUAAUCCGUGGCAUAUUUCAUUGGCGAGUGUGUGCGUGCGUGUGCUUUGGCAGUGGCUUUUUUGGCUGCGCUGGGCGUGUGUGCUGUGUGUGCUUGCUGGUGCCCUGUGCUGCGGUGGGACGUCAAGGUCAGUUCGUAUGCUGCGGGAAAUGGCUGCCGAGGAGGUAGGGCUUACGCUCCGCGUUUGUCUGUUAUAUCUUGGUGGACGAGUCGUCGCGGUUGGGACUGAGGUGCCUACAACGUGCUUUUGAGUGAGUAUGGGUCUCCGUGUGCGCCGUGUGCGGAUAGCUUGCUAUGCGUGUGUGGUUGUGUGUGGAUUGAUGCGUGCUGUAACUUGUCGCCGUUC